GGCUUUAUAGUUUAAGUUAAAAUAUUAGAUUGCAAAUCUAGUGAUACAUUAUGUUAAAGCUU
RNAcentral lists this transfer RNA (62 nucleotides) under Enoplops sibiricus. RNAcentral's name for it is "tRNA-Cys". It matches the Rfam family "tRNA". From Rfam's summary of the family: Transfer RNA (tRNA) molecules are approximately 80 nucleotides in length. Lineage: Eukaryota; Metazoa; Arthropoda; Insecta; Hemiptera; Coreidae. The record is from RNAcentral.